GACGAACGCUGGCGGCGUGCUUAACACAUGCAAGUCGAACGGAAAGGCCCUGCUUUUGUGGGGUGCUCGAGUGGCGAACGGGUGAGUAACACGUGAGUAACCUGCCCUUGACUUUGGGAUAACUUCAGGAAACUGGGGCUAAUACCGGAUAGGAGCUCCUGCUGCAUGGUGGGGGUUGGAAAGUUUCGGCGGUUGGGGAUGGACUCGCGGCUUAUCAGCUUGUUGGUGGGGUAGUGGCUUACCAAGGAUUUGACGGGUAGCCGGCCUGAGAGGGUGACCGGCCACAUUGGGACUGAGGUACGGCCCAGACUCGUACGGGAGGCAGCAGUGGGGAAUAUUGCACAAUGGGCGGAAGCCUGAUGCAGCAGCGCCGCGUGCGGGAUGACGGCCUUCGGGUUGUAAACCGCUUUCGCCUGUGACGCAGCGUGAGUGACGGUAAUGGGUAAAGAAGCACCGGCUAACUACGUG
Molecule: ribosomal RNA, 468 nt
Filed under: uncultured bacterium
Lineage: Bacteria
Description: partial 16S ribosomal RNA
Rfam family: Bacterial small subunit ribosomal RNA
Source: RNAcentral